Molecule: unclassified non-coding RNA, 156 nt
Organism: Macaca fascicularis (crab-eating macaque)
Lineage: Eukaryota; Metazoa; Chordata; Mammalia; Primates; Cercopithecidae
Rfam family: Metazoan signal recognition particle RNA
About the family: The signal recognition particle (SRP) is a universally conserved ribonucleoprotein.
Source: Ensembl
GCUGGGUGUGGUGGCCUGCACCUGUAGUCCCAGCUACUCAGGAGGCUGAGGUGGGAGGAUUGCUUAAGCCUAGGAGCUGGAGGCUGCAGUGAGCCAUGAUCAUGCCACUGCAUCACUGCACCCCAGCCUGGGCAACAGAGCAAGACCCUGUCUCCA